UUGGGAGGCUGAGGCAGGAGAAUUGCUUGAACCCAGGUGGCAGAAGUUGCAGUGAGCUGAGAUUGCGCCACUGCACUCCGCCCUGGGCGACAUGGCAAGACUCCAUGUCAAAAAAAAAAACAAAAAAACAAAAAAACUCAGUCCCCAGCGAUUUUGGGAUUUGGAAUUUUUGCCUAUUCAUGUUCAGCUCCUCUUUCUGGCCAAGGUAACAAUGAGUUGCCUCCUGCAGGGUCCCUGCUGUGAAAUCAGGCCAUCCCGUGCUUCUCGAUCAGCAGGCCGCACCUCCAGGUCAGCUGAAAGGAGCCCAGAGCAUUUGAAUCCCAGCCCCAACUGGCAGCGGCCUUUGCCUUGGACAGAUGCCAUGUCUCUGAGGUGCAGACGGGCUGGCUCUCCAUUCAGGUGUCAGAGCAUUUGAGUGUGUGUGGUUUUCCAAGCCCUGGGUUUGUCAAUGGAGGGAAAGGUGCACAAGAUGUGGUCCGUGAGCUCUUGGAUCCUAGAAUGCUUGGGGAAGACAGGCCAGCCUCGGAGGCUCAGCCUGUGGUCCCAGCUACCUGGGGAGGCUGAAGUGGGAGGAUUGCUUGAGCCUGGGAGGUGGAGGCUGCAGUAAGCUAGGAUUAUGCUACUGCACUCCAACCUGGAUGACAGAGUGAGACCCUAUCUCAAAAAAAUAAAUAAAUAAAGGAAAGCAUCCUUGGUAGUGCUGAGUGCUGUGGGGACACUGUUGCAAUUGGGGAUGAGUGGCCUGGGAAGGCUUCCCAAGAAAUGGCAUUAGGGUGAGGCCAUAGGAAGUGAGGGAGGGGCUAGGCAGAGGAAUGAGCAGGCACAGAGGCCUGUAGCAGCAGACUGCACAGCGGCAGGAGCGGUCCUGGCGGCGCCGGGCCUAGGAGCCAUGUUGGGGUUUGGACUUGUGCUCUCUGAAGGUCUGAGAGGCCCUACUGGCUGCUGGAGGAAGACAAGGUGGGGGCAGCCAGGCUCCUUAGGAGCUCUCGGAAUGGUGCAGUCCAGAGCCAUAGUGUUGAAGGUGGAUAUGGUGGGGACGCUCCAAGACCAUGGGAGAAGAGGAUACGAGCCGGAGCUAUGGAAGAAGUGAACAUGUAAGACUCCAGAGGCAAACUGCCCGUCUAGACAGCUCUGGCCUGCAGAGCCCACCACUCCCAGGCCAGCGCCGUGAGGUCCUGUUGAGCCACCCACCUCACUGUGAUCAUCCCCAGGUAAACCCUCGGACGUGGGCCCGGUGCCCUCCUUGCUGAGGCUGAAGCCACGUGGCCAUGAAAACCUGAGCAUCACAAGCCGCUCUCUGCGUUUGUGGUGUGAUCAGGGCCUUCUACCACAAGCCAUGUGCCCAGGCUGAUCCUCUCUAAUGUGGAGAGGCGGCUGCGCUGGAAAGGCCUCAGUAAGAGCAGCUGGGCCCUUGCAGACAGACAUCACGGUGUGACCCUCGGGACUGGCUCCCUGCGGCCACUGCAGCACAGGUGUUCACAUCUCACAGUGGAGGCAGUGGACACCAUGCUCGCCUGCAGGCUCUCGGCGAGGCUCUGAGUCUGGCCCCUUGCGUAGCCCCUGGUGACUCCUUGGCUUCUGGAGCGGAACUCCAUCCUUCACAUGGCGCUUUCCUCGAGGGCCUGUGUGCGUGUCGUCUGUGGCCAAGUUCCUACUUCAUAAG
Molecule: long non-coding RNA, 1663 nt
Filed under: Homo sapiens (human)
Lineage: Eukaryota; Metazoa; Chordata; Mammalia; Primates; Hominidae
Description: HSALNT0275599
Source: RNAcentral